UUAACACAUGCAAGUCGAGCGGUAGCACAAGGGAGCUUGCUCCCUGGGUGACGAGCGGCGGACGGGUGAGUAAUGUCUGGGAAACUGCCUGAUGGAGGGGGAUAACUACUGGAAACGGUAGCUAAUACCGCAUAACGUCGCAAGACCAAAGAGGGGGACCUUCGGGCCUCUUGCCAUCAGAUGUGCCCAGAUGGGAUUAGCUAGUAGGUGGGGUAAUGGCUCACCUAGGCGACGAUCCCUAGCUGGUCUGAGAGGAUGACCAGCCACACUGGAACUGAGACACGGUCCAGACUCCUACGGGAGGCAGCAGUGGGGAAUAUUGCACAAUGGGCGCAAGCCUGAUGCAGCCAUGCCGCGUGUGUGAAGAAGGCCUUCGGGUUGUAAAGCACUUUCAGCGAGGAGGAAGGUGGUGAACUUAAUACGUUCAUCAAUUGACGUUACUCGCAGAAGAAGCACCGGCUAACUCCGUGCCAGCAGCCGCGGUAAUACGGAGGGUGCAAGCGUUAAUCGGAAUUACUGGGCGUAAAGCGCACGCAGGCGGUUUGUUAAGUCAGAUGUGAAAUCCCCGGGCUCAACCUGGGAACUGCAUUUGAAACUGGCAAGCUAGAGUCUCGUAGAGGGGGGUAGAAUUCCAGGUGUAGCGGUGAAAUGCGUAGAGAUCUGGAGGAAUACCGGUGGCGAAAGCGGCCCCCUGGACGAAGACUGACGCUCAGGUGCGAAAGCGUGGGGAGCAAACAGGAUUAAAUACCCUGGUAGUCCACGCUUUA
This 767-nucleotide ribosomal RNA is filed under the name uncultured Serratia sp. RNAcentral describes it as "bacterial SSU rRNA". It matches the Rfam family "Bacterial small subunit ribosomal RNA", at positions 48 to 804 of the family's 1533-position model. The record is from RNAcentral. Lineage: Bacteria; Pseudomonadati; Pseudomonadota; Gammaproteobacteria; Enterobacterales; Yersiniaceae.